GACUUUUGCUGUCUUCAGACUGGGGUCUUCAUCUCCAAGGAGAUGCCUCACUUCCUCCUGGACAAAGCCGGAACACCACUGGCACGGGCCAGCAAUCCAGAGGUGUGUGCUGUGUGCAGAGCUUCUCCAGAGAAAACCUGAACUCCAAAGUCUGCUUGUAACAAUGAUUGCUGUCACAUUCAUCAUAGGAACACAUAGAUAUUAGUGCUGGGGUUGGAACUGGCUUGUUUUCAUCACCCAACAGUCUCUGGAUUUCAAGUUGUCUAAUGUUCUAUAAAUC
This 280-nucleotide long non-coding RNA is filed under the name Cricetulus griseus (Chinese hamster). Its description in RNAcentral is "lncRNA (ENSCGRG00015040024.1)". Lineage: Eukaryota; Metazoa; Chordata; Mammalia; Rodentia; Cricetidae. The record is from RNAcentral.